UACGAAGGGGGCUAGCGUUGCUCGGAAUCACUGGGCGUAAAGCGCACGUAGGCGGAUCUUUAAGUCAGGGGUGAAAUCCCAAGGCUCAACCUUGGGAACUGCCUUUGAUACUGGGGAUCUCGAGUCCGGAAGAGGUUGGUGGAACUGCGAGUGUAGAGGUGAAAUUCGUAGAUAUUCGCAAGAACACCAGUGGCGAAGGCGGCUCACUGGCCCGAUACUGACGCUGAGGUGCGAAAGCGUGGGGAGCAACAGG
This 253-nucleotide ribosomal RNA is filed under the name uncultured bacterium. RNAcentral describes it as "partial 16S ribosomal RNA". It matches the Rfam family "Bacterial small subunit ribosomal RNA", at positions 524 to 775 of the family's 1533-position model. The record is from RNAcentral.